This 412-nucleotide ribosomal RNA is filed under the name uncultured bacterium. RNAcentral's name for it is "bacterial SSU rRNA". It matches the Rfam family "Bacterial small subunit ribosomal RNA", at positions 30 to 444 of the family's 1533-position model. The record is from RNAcentral.
AUUGAACGCUGGCGGCAUGCCUUACACAUGCAAGUCGAACGGCAGCACGGACUUCGGUCUGGUGGCGAGUGGCGAACGGGUGAGUAAUGUAUCGGAACGUACCUUUCAGUGGGGGGAUAACGUAGCGAAAGUUACGCUAAUACCGCAUAUUCUGUGAGCAGGAAAGCAGGGGAUCGCAAGACCUUGCGCUGAUUGAGCGGCCGAUAUCAGAUUAGCUAGUUGGUGGGGUAAAGGCCUACCAAGGCUACGAUCUGUAGCGGGUCUGAGAGGAUGAUCCGCCACACUGGAACUGAGACACGGUCCAGACUCCUACGGGAGGCAGCAGUGGGGAUUUGGACAAUGGGGGCAACCCUGAUCCAGCCAUGCCGCGUGAGUGAAGAAGGCCUCGGUUGUAAAGUCUCUUUCGGCCGGG